Molecule: ribosomal RNA, 524 nt
Filed under: uncultured bacterium
Lineage: Bacteria
Description: bacterial SSU rRNA
Rfam family: Bacterial small subunit ribosomal RNA
Source: RNAcentral
UGGGGAAUAUUGGACAAUGGACCAAGAGUCUGAUCCAGCAAUUCUGUGUGCACGAUGACGUUUUUCGGAAUGUAAAGUGCUUUCAGUUGGGAAGAAAAAAAUGACGGUACCAACAGAAGAAGUGACGGCUAAAUACGUGCCAGCAGCCGCGGUAAUACGUAUGUCACAAGCGUUAUCCGGAUUUAUUGGGCGUAAAGCGCGUCUAGGUGGUUAUGUAAGUCCGAUGUGAAAAUGCAGGGCUCAACUCUGUAUUGCGUUGGAAACUGUGUAACUAGAGUACUGGAGAGGUAAGCGGAACUACAAGUGUAGAGGUGAAAUUCGUAGAUAUUUGUAGGAAUGCCGAUGGGGAAGCCAGCUUACUGGACAGAUACUGACGCUGAAGCGCGAAAGCGUGGGUAGCAAACAGGAUUAGAUACCCUGGUAGUCCACGCCGUAAACGAUGAUUACUAGGUGUUGGGGGUCGAACCUCAGCGCCCAAGCAAACGCGAUAAGUAAUCCGCCUGGGGAGUACGUACGCAAGUAUG